RNAcentral lists this ribosomal RNA (464 nucleotides) under uncultured bacterium. RNAcentral's name for it is "bacterial SSU rRNA". It matches the Rfam family "Bacterial small subunit ribosomal RNA", at positions 338 to 795 of the family's 1533-position model. The record is from RNAcentral.
CCUACGGGGUGCACCAGUGGGGAAUUUUGGACAAUGGGCGCAAGCCUGAUCCAGCAAUGCCGCGUGAGUGAAGAAGGCCUUCGGGUUGUAAAGCUCUUUUGUCGGGGAAGAAACGGCUGAGGAUAAUACCUUCGGCUAAUGACGGUACCUGAAGAAUAAGCACCGGCUAACUACGUGCCAGCAGCCGCGGUAAUACGUAGGGUGCAAGCGUUAAUCGGAAUUACUGGGCGUAAAGCGUGCGCAGGCGGUUUUGUAAGUCUGACGUGAAAGCCCCGGGCUCAACCUGGGAAUUGCGUUGGAGACUGCAAGGCUUGAAUCUGGCAGAGGGGGGCAGAAUUCCACGUGUAGCAGUGAAAUGCGUAGAGAUGUGGAGGAACACCGAUGGCGAAGGCAGCCCCCUGGGUCAAGAUUGACGCUCAUGCACGAAAGCGUGGGGAGCAAACAGGAUUAGAUACCCGUUAGUC